AUUGAACGCCGGCGGAAUGCUUUACACAUGCAAGUCGAACGGCAGCACGGACUUCGGUCUGGUGGCGAGUGGCGAACGGGUGAGUAAUGUAUCGGAACGUGCCCAGUCGUGGGGGAUAACGUAGUGAAAAUUACGCUAAUACCGCGUACGAUCUAUGGAUGAAGGCGGGGGAUCGCAAGACCUCGCGCGAUUGGAGCGGCCGAUAUCAGAUUAGGUAGUUGGUGGGGUAAAGGCCCACCAAGCCAACGAUCUGUAGCUGGUCUGAGAGGACGACCAGCCACACUGGAACUGAGACGCGGUCCAGACUCCUACGGGAGGAAGCAGUGGGGAAUUUUGGACAAUGGGCGAAAGCCUGAUCCAGCCAUUCCGCGUGCAGGAUGGAGGCCCUCGGGUUGUAAACUGCUUUUGUACGGAACGAAAAGGUCUCUCUUAAUACGGGGGGCUCAUGACGGUACCGUAAGAAUAAGCACCGGCUAACUACGUGCCAGCCGCCGCGGUAA
RNAcentral lists this ribosomal RNA (500 nucleotides) under uncultured bacterium. Its description in RNAcentral is "partial 16S ribosomal RNA". It matches the Rfam family "Bacterial small subunit ribosomal RNA", at positions 30 to 523 of the family's 1533-position model. The record is from RNAcentral.